UUAAAAUUAAUUUAUUAAUUUUUUUUUUCUGUAAAAAUUUUUUUAUUAAAAGUAAUUAUAUAAUUUUAUUGUUUUAGUAAUUUAUAAAAAAAAAAUAUUUUUAAUUAUAGUUUAAUAGUAUUGUAAAAGACAAUUGAAAUAAUUUGAAAAAUAUUUAUUUUAAAAGAAAAUUUAAUUUAUUGUACCUUGUGUGUCAGGGUUUAUUAAAUAAAAAUUAGUUAUUUUAAUUUUCUCGAUUUUAAAAGAGUUAAUAUAUUAUAAAAUUUAAUGUUAUAAAACUAUUUUUAAUAAUAUAUUAGAAAUGAAAUGUUAUUCGUUUUUAAUGGUAUCUAGUUCUUUAAGAAAUAAAUUUAAUUUAGAAAUUUUAUAUUAUUUAGUUAUUUAUUUAAUUAAAUAAUUAUUUUAUUUUAAUAUUUUAUGGGAUAAGCUAUAAAAUAAAUUGUUAAAAAUUAAUUUAAAUAUUAAUAUAUGUAAGUUUAGAAAUAGCUAUCAUUAAUAAAAAUGUUAUAAUUUAUUUUAUUUAAAAUAUUAUUUAUUUUAAUUUUAAUUAGUUUAUUAAAGUAUUUAUUAAAAUUUAUAAAAUUAAUAAAUAAUGAUAAAAUUAGUAUAUAAUAAUGUGUAAAUAAAUUUUUUUGAAAAGUUUUUAUAAAGAACUCGGCAAAUUUAGUAUUCGCCUGUUUAACAAAAACAUGUCUUUUUGUAUUUUUAAAAAGUUUAACCUGCCCACUGAAAUUUUAAAUGGCCGCAGUAUACUAACUGUGCAAAGGUAGCAUAAUCAUUAGUUUUUUAAUUGAAAGCUGGUAUGAAUGGUUGGACGAGAUACUAACUGUUUCAUAAAAAUUUUUUAUAGAAUUUUAUUUUUUAGUUAAAAAGCUAAAAUUUUUUUAAAAGACGAGAAGACCCUAUAAAUCUUUAUAUUUAUAUUAUUAUUAUUUAUUAGAUUUUUUUUUGUAGUAAUAAUUUAUAAUAUUUUGUUGGGGUGAUAUUAAAAUUUAAUAAACUUUUAAUUUAAAUUUUCAUUAAUUUAUGAGUUAUUGAUCCAUUAUUAAUGAUUAAAAAAUUAAGUUACUUUAGGGAUAACAGCGUAAUUUUUUUGGAGAGUUCAUAUCGAUAAAAAAGAUUGCGACCUCGAUGUUGGAUUAAGAUAUAAAUUUAGGUGUAGCAGCUUAAAUUUUAAGUCUGUUCGACUUUUAAAUUCUUACAUGAUCUGAGUUCAAACCGGUGUAAGCCAGGUUGGUUUCUAUCUUUAAAAAUUUUUAAUAUUUUAGUACGAAAGGACCUAAUAUUAAAUAUAUAAAUAUUUUUAUAAUGAAUUACAUUAAUU
This 1324-nucleotide ribosomal RNA is filed under the name Botanophila rubrifrons. RNAcentral's name for it is "16S ribosomal RNA". Lineage: Eukaryota; Metazoa; Arthropoda; Insecta; Diptera; Anthomyiidae. The record is from RNAcentral.